AAAGUGCAGCCGUGGUUCCAACAAUUUAAGACGAAUUUUGAUCCCAUAAAGAUGAGCUUUGACGAUGAUCCAAAAUAGGCUCUUAAUGAUAAAAAGGGAGAUGAUAAAUUAUGUUCUAUUGUUAUUUUGAUUUGACGAAAAAUUAACGAUCUUAUUUUUUGGUAUAGGGGAAUUUUCGUACAAUUCACGAGUGCAGACUUUGAGUCAAAUUUUGGACCUGCUAUUAUCCGAAUUUGAGAAUGUGUAAAACACGAAAUCUGUAGGCAUUUUUGUUGGCUGUCCGAAACAUCUUGAAUCGCUGAAAUCGGACAUCGAACGAGAGAGAUAUGCUCCAAACACUGAGCACUGCUGCAGCUGCAAAAUUGUGCGCGUUUUUGAGGUAUCAAAAGAAUUCGUAAUGGAAAAUUAUUGAAUCUGGUAUGUUCUUCGUUUCCACAUUACUUUACAUAAUUUUGCACUAGUACUUAUAAUAUUGCAUAUGGUAAUAAUUUGAGAUGUGGAAAUUGAAAUAAUAUAGUAGUCUAUUUUUGUUCAUAAAAACUGAUACACGUAUUAUGAUUAUAUAAAUUAUUGAUAUUACAUAUAAUCUCUAUGGAU
This 597-nucleotide long non-coding RNA is filed under the name Erythranthe guttata (spotted monkey flower). Its description in RNAcentral is "long non-coding RNA (EGUT_LNC003083)". The record is from RNAcentral. Lineage: Eukaryota; Viridiplantae; Streptophyta; Magnoliopsida; Lamiales; Phrymaceae.